UACGUAGGGUGCAAGCGUUGUCCGGAAUUAUUGGGCGUAAAGAGCGUGUAGGCGGCCCGAUAAGUCCGCUGUGAAAGUCCAGGGCUCAACCCUGGAAUGCCGGUGGAUACUGUCGGGCUCGAAUCCGGAAGAGGUGAGUGGAAUUCCUGGUGUAGCGGUGAAAUGCGCAGAUAUCAGGAGGAACACCAAUGGCGAAGGCAGCUCACUGGGACGGUAUUGACGCUGAGACGCGAAAGCGUGGGGAGCAAACAGG
RNAcentral lists this ribosomal RNA (253 nucleotides) under uncultured bacterium. Its description in RNAcentral is "partial 16S ribosomal RNA". It matches the Rfam family "Bacterial small subunit ribosomal RNA", at positions 524 to 776 of the family's 1533-position model. The record is from RNAcentral.